This 253-nucleotide ribosomal RNA is filed under the name uncultured bacterium. RNAcentral describes it as "partial 16S ribosomal RNA". It matches the Rfam family "Bacterial small subunit ribosomal RNA", at positions 524 to 776 of the family's 1533-position model. The record is from RNAcentral.
UACGAGUGGUGCUAGCGUUAUUCGGAAUAAUUGGGCGUACAGGGUGCGUAGACGGUAUGUUAAGUCUGCUGUUAAAUCCUCCGGCUUAACCGGAGAUAUGCGGUGGAAACUGGCGUACUAGAGGGUGGAAGAGAGAAGUGGAAUUCUCGGUGUAGCGGUAAAAUGCGUAGAUAUCGAGAGGAACACCGAUGGCGAAGGCAGCUUCUUGGUCCAUUCCUGACGUUGAGGCACGAAAGCGUGGGGAGCAAACAGG